RNAcentral lists this ribosomal RNA (511 nucleotides) under uncultured Glomus. Its description in RNAcentral is "SSU rRNA". It matches the Rfam family "Eukaryotic small subunit ribosomal RNA", at positions 569 to 1082 of the family's 1831-position model. Lineage: Eukaryota; Fungi; Glomeromycota; Glomeromycetes; Glomerales; Glomeraceae. The record is from RNAcentral.
AGCAGCCGCGGUAAUUCCAGCUCCAAUAGCGUAUAUUAAAGUUGUUGCAGUUAAAAAGCUCGUAGUUGAAUUUCGGGAUCAAUAUGUCGGUCGUGCCUUCGGUACGUACUGGUAUCAUUGGUCUCUCCUUUCUGACGAACCAUGAUGUCAUUAAUUUGGUGUUAUGGGGAGUUAGGACUGUUACUUUGAAAAAAUUAGAGUGUUUAAAGCAGGCUUUAGCUUGAAUACAUUAGCAUGGAAUAAUGAAAUAGGACGUUCGAACCUAUUUUGUUGGUUUCUAGGAUCAACGUAAUGAUUAAUAGGGAUAGUUGGGGGCAUUAGUAUUCAAUUGUCAGAGGUGAAAUUCUUGGAUUUAUUGAAGACUAACUACUGCGAAAGCAUUUGCCAAGGAUGUUUUCAUUAAUCAAGAACGAAAGUUAGGGGAUCGAAGACGAUCAGAUACCGUCGUAGUCUUAACCAUAAACUAUGCCGACUAGGGAUCGGAUGAUGUUAAUUUUUAAUGACUCAUUCG